AUUCUCAUAUUUAUUCAUUUCCACACAAAUAUUUACUGAACAUGUAAUAUGUGUCAGGCUUGGAGCUAAGGCUACAAGAAUGACCCGCUCCAAGUGAGAGCUGAUGGAUGAGGACACACCAGCUCAGUAAGGGUGGGGAGCUUCCAUUCCAGACUGAGGAAGCAGCAGAGCUGAUGUCCAGGAGAUGAAGAAGAGCAUCUGGGAGUAGGACUGACAUCACACUCUUCUAAUACGUGUUAAAAUUAUCUAAUUACCUAAUUAUCUAAUACGUGUUAAAAUUUAUGAAGGAACAAUGGGGAGGCAUUGAGGAUUUUAAGUGGGAGAAUGUCGUGACUGAAUUUGUAUUCAAGAUAGAUCACCUUGUUUGCUGGGUCGGAAGUGGGUUUGUAAGAGCAGGAAUGGAGGCAGGGAGAAGAGUUAGGAAGUUCUGUGGUCAAGCAGGCAUAGCUGGACUUGUAGGUCAACAGAGCAUGAUAAUGGUUUUUACAUAAAAGGUAGGAGAAAGAGAAGAAUCAAGGAUGUUUUUUGUUUUCUGCCCUGGAUAAGUUAGUGAAUGGUGGUACCAUUUAAGGAGACUGAAAAAGCUGAAGGGAAAGAGCAUUUGAAGAGGAGAUUAAGUAUUAGGCUUAAAAGGACUUUUAGUCAUCCAAGUCAUGACGACAAGUAGGUAUUUGGACAAGCCAGUCUGGAGAAGUUAGGGCUGGAGAUGUGAAUGUGAAGAUGAUCGAUUUUUACAUAAUAUCUGAAGCCAAAGAGCUGAAUGAGAUCACCUAGGAAGUGGGCAUAGAGACAGAAGGGGCUAGAGCCAAACCCGGAAAUGCUUGAAGAGGUGGAGAAGAGGAAGACAAUCCUCAAAGAGGAUGGGAACAUACAUCAGCAAGUGAAUAUCAGUGGAAGGGUGGUGAGAAGAGAAACAAACGAAGUGAAAUUGAUGAUGUAGGAAAGACAUAACCUCAGGCACCAAGACCUUUCAUAGGGAAGAGGCCUAGAGAGUAAACUUACUACCCAGGGGUAUCAGGAGGAGUGAAAGAACACUAGGAGAGGACUAAUAGUUAAAAGAGACACAGAGGAAGGGACAGGCACAGAGAAGUGAAUAUAGCGGUUGAAAGUAAGCAGUAGAGUACGGGAACAUGGAACCAAAAGAAGAGAGGGUUUCAAAGAGAGCAUGGCCAACAGUGUCCAAUGCUGCUAAGAGGUAAAGUAGACGAAAAAUGUGAUUAUGCCCAAUGGAUUUAGGUGCAUAGGUGGCACUGGUGAAUUUGGUUAAGCAGUUUUAGUGGACAGAUGGCGGCGGAAAUCAGGUUCCAUAGGAGGUGAAAGGAUGGAG
Molecule: long non-coding RNA, 1327 nt
Organism: Homo sapiens (human)
Lineage: Eukaryota; Metazoa; Chordata; Mammalia; Primates; Hominidae
Source: Ensembl